AAUAAGAUCAUUUUUCAGUUUUUAGAUACAAUGUUUUGACUUUUCGUCUUAUUUGAAUUUUUUUGUGAUUAAAUUUUUAUUAUUACUAGAUGAUAAAAUAUGAAUAGUACUUUAUGCGUGACUAAUUUUUUUAAGUUUUGGUACAAAUUUUUCAAAUAAGACGAAUGGUCAAAGCAUUAGGCAUAGAAAUCGAAAAAUGACGUUAUU
Molecule: microRNA precursor, 207 nt
Filed under: Oryza brachyantha (malo sina)
Lineage: Eukaryota; Viridiplantae; Streptophyta; Magnoliopsida; Poales; Poaceae
Description: MIR812 microRNA precursor family
Rfam family: MIR812 microRNA precursor family
Source: Rfam by way of RNAcentral